AACCGGGGCUAAUGCCGGAUAACAUGUUGAACCGCAUGGUUCAACAGUGAAAGACGGUCUUGCUGUCACUUAUAGAUGGACCCGCGCCGUAUUAGCUAGUUGGUAAGGUAACGGCUUACCAAGGCGACGAUACGUAGCCGACCUGAGAGGGUGAUCGGCCACACUGGAACUGAGACACGGUCCAGACUCCUACGGGAGGCAGCAGUAGGGAAUCUUCCGCAAUGGGCGAAAGCCUGACGGAGCAACGCCGCGUGAGUGAUGAAGGUCUUCGGAUCGUAAAGCUCUGUUGUUAGGGAAGAACAUAUGUGUAAGUAACUGUGCACAUCUUGACGGUACCUAACCAGAAAGCCACGGCUAACUACGUGCCAGCAGCCGCGGUAAUACGUAGGUGGCAAGCGUUAUCCGGAA
RNAcentral lists this ribosomal RNA (408 nucleotides) under Staphylococcus hyicus. RNAcentral describes it as "bacterial SSU rRNA". It matches the Rfam family "Bacterial small subunit ribosomal RNA", at positions 155 to 550 of the family's 1533-position model. Lineage: Bacteria; Bacillati; Bacillota; Bacilli; Caryophanales; Staphylococcaceae. The record is from RNAcentral.